Molecule: long non-coding RNA, 565 nt
Filed under: Glycine max (soybean)
Lineage: Eukaryota; Viridiplantae; Streptophyta; Magnoliopsida; Fabales; Fabaceae
Description: long non-coding RNA (GMAX_LNC002913)
Source: RNAcentral
UUACUUAAAAAAAAAACCUUGCAAAUAAAAUUGAAAACCAAUAUAAAUUGGCAUGACUUGAUGAGUUUCCAUCAAUUAGGACAAGCAUACAAACACAAUUUCUUAGGAGACCAUUGCAAAUCCAUGCAAUUUUGCUUUGAAGAAAAAAUAUAAUAGAUACCUAAUCCGAUUCCAGAAAAUAUUAAACCGAAUCAAAUAUUUCAAAUGGUCUCUCAAAAUUACACUUCAAAGAAAAAAUGGAACGGCGUUGUUUUCUGCAUAAAUGGGCCAAAUAAACAAAGCGUGUGUUUCGUUUGCACUAACCUGAAUCUUCCCCCUCUGAUUCACAUUGGCGCAUUUCCCUUUGGUUCUCAUUGACGCGGAGGUUGGAAGCGACGUUCAGCAAAAUCUGGCGAGGAGGCUGUUGUUUCUCAGUGGUUGUCGCAGUAUGUAAUUUGUUUGAAGGCUAUUCUUCGCAGCGUUGACAUUGACGUAGGUUCGUCAUCAUCGCUAAAGUGUUACUGAACUGAACCUCUCCAAUUCACAGCGUCUAGUUUUAUUUGGUGAUAAUAAUUUUAUUUGCAGC